RNAcentral lists this ribosomal RNA (493 nucleotides) under uncultured bacterium. Its description in RNAcentral is "partial 16S ribosomal RNA". It matches the Rfam family "Bacterial small subunit ribosomal RNA", at positions 28 to 507 of the family's 1533-position model. The record is from RNAcentral.
GACGAACGCUGGCGGCGUGCCUAACACAUGCAAGUCGAGCGACGAACCAGGGCUUGCCCUGGGGCAAAGCAGCGAACGGGUGAGUAACACGUGGGUAACCUACCCCCAUAACCGGGACAACCCGAGGAAACACGGGCUAAUACCGGAUGUGCCCACUGGACUUCGGUUCAGUGCGUUAAGGAAGCUUCGGCCUGCGUAUCCGUAGGGGCCCGUGGCCCAUUAGUUUGUUGGUGGGGUAACGGCGCGCCAAGACCGCGAUGGGUAGCUGGUCUGGGAGGACGAUCGGCCACACUGGAACUGAGACACGGCCCAGAGUCCUACGGGAGGCAGCAGUGGGGAAUCUUGCGCAAUGCGGGAAAGCGUGACGGAGCAACGCCGCGUGGGGGAAGAAGGCCUUCGGGUUGUAAACCCCUUUCAGGAGGGACGAAGGUUCGGCGGUGAAGAGCCGUCCGGACUGACGGUACCUCCACAAGAAGCCCCGGCUAACUACGUG